CCUACGGGUGGCAGCAGUGGGGGAUAUUGCACAAUGGGGGCAACCCUGAUGCAGCGACGCCGCGUGAGCGAUGGAGUACUUCGGUAUGUAAAGCUCUGUCAGCAGGGAAGAGAAUGACGGUACCUGACCAAGAAGCCCCGGCUAAAUACGUGCCAGCAGCCGCGGUAAUAAGUAUGGGGCAAGCGUUAUCCGGAUUUACUGGGUGUAAAGGGGGCGUAGGCGGGAGGGCAAGCCUGAUGUGAAAGCCCGGGGCUCAACCCCGGGACUGCAUUGGGAACUGCCCCGCUCGGGUGCCGGAGGGGGAGGCGGAAUUCCGAGGGUAGCGGUGAAAUGCGUAGGUAUUAGG
Molecule: ribosomal RNA, 346 nt
Filed under: uncultured bacterium
Lineage: Bacteria
Description: partial 16S ribosomal RNA
Rfam family: Bacterial small subunit ribosomal RNA
Source: RNAcentral